GCAAGUAGGAGGCAGACCUGACUGCAGCUUUACAGAGGAAGAAGAAGAUUUGCUUCUCUCAGGCACCGACUGAGCUCGUUCUCAUCAUGUGUGUCUACAAAUCGCACUUUGAGGACUCUUUUUUCCCUUUUUCACUCUGGACUUUAAUCGUGUGCUUGGCUUUCAUCGUCAGGACUCCUGUCCAAGGUGAGGUUCUGGUGAUUGGUUCAAAUCUUCCAAUCAUCGCCGCUCCGGGUGAUGAUGUCAUCCUGCCGUGUCACCUGAAGCCCAUGUUCGAUGUCCAGGGUCUGACGGUGGAGUGGUCCAAACCUGACCUGAAGCCCGACCCGUCGGACCGGCUGAGCCGAGUGGAGUACGUUCACCUGUACAGGGACAGGAAGGAGGUCCCCGACAUGAAGAUGGCCUCGUACUUCAGGAGGACGGAGCUGUUCAUGGACGCCAUGAAACACGGGAACAUUUCACUGAAGAUCCUGAACGUGUCGGAGGAAGACAACGGCAGAUACAGAUGCUUCAUCCCCAAGCUGAGGAGCAGAGUGAAAGCUGCAGUAGUUGAACUUGUAGUCGAUCCAAAGUACGCUAAGACCUCUACGACAGAGAGUCCGGUGUAUCCUAGAAACUUCCAAACUCCAGAUCCUCGUGACGUGUCUCCAAGAAAUACAGGUCGGUCCAGGGUCUUUCUGGUUGUCGUAGUUACUGCCUUCGUGUCGGUUGUGGCUGUCACUGCGUAUUUCUCUCACCAUCAAACAAAAUAAGCAUCAAGGCGACGAAGUGACCCAAACCAACCAUAACAAUUCCAGGUGCUCAAAGGAGGGCUGGUGUUAAUGGACCUGAGAGCGUUGGAGAUUUACCUUUUCUGGCUCUGCUGGAUCCUUAUGGUCAGGUUGGAGGUUCAAACCAGCAGCCACAGGAAGGCACUUGGCCCAGCAGCACUGAGACCCAUCAUAAUGUCACUUCUAUAAACGGAGUCUGAUUUAAACUUCGACCUCAGGUGAAGACUCAAGUGUUGUAUCAGAAAAAACACAGCGUGGGAAAUCUGGAAAUCUAACAGUAAAUAUCUCAAACAAGCGACAUGUAGGUUAUUCUUUAAAUUGGAUUCAGAUCCAGUGAAGUAGCCAGUCUAAAACCAAUUGUUAAAUUCUUUUCCAUUCCUUGUCAGCAACAUUAUUUUGAUCUAACCCUAAUAAGUGUUUAAAAACCAACACUGGGGUAAUGCCAAUCAGCAGUCCCCAGGGGAACUGCAGUUCAUCUACUCAAGUCAGCCCUCACAGACUGUCAUGUUAAAUCCCAGCAGAAAUGCACGUCUUCAUAGCCAGCUACAAAAACAGGAUGUGUUCCUCUAUAAUUGUACGCUAGUUGAAUAUUUCUUGCAACUUUUAACUUUUGAGUUCAAAGGCUCAAAGGAGGAUGUGCCAGCAGAGAUGUCCAAGCUUCACCUCUUUGUAGUUGUGAUGUGGUUUGUGGCUCAGCUGCAGGGGAGGGGUGGAGCAGUGGGUUCAGGGUGUGGUGAUCUGGAUGAGAGACUAGAGGCUAGUUUGAAUG
Oreochromis niloticus (Nile tilapia) is the source of this 1539-nucleotide long non-coding RNA. RefSeq annotates it as myelin-oligodendrocyte glycoprotein. The record is from RefSeq and is a predicted model, not a curated record. The transcript has 6 exons. Lineage: Eukaryota; Metazoa; Chordata; Actinopteri; Cichliformes; Cichlidae.